Molecule: non-coding RNA, 1142 nt
Organism: Chiloscyllium plagiosum (whitespotted bambooshark)
Lineage: Eukaryota; Metazoa; Chordata; Chondrichthyes; Orectolobiformes; Hemiscylliidae
Source: RefSeq, a predicted model, not a curated record
CAAUCCUGUAAAGGAACCAGAAGAAAAGGAGACGCUACAAACAGAUCCCAAGGCCUAAGAGGACCAAUUUGAAGAAAUUAAAGACACCAUGCCACAACUGGGUAGAGAAUGGCACACAACAUCAGAUACUCUGGCCAAACAGAGCCUACCCAUAAUGCCACCGGCACCUCAACUCGACUACACUCAGCUCAGGAACUAACAGUGAUGAAACGAGACAUUACCUAAGCUGUUUCCACGACUGAAGGAACAGACUACGCAGAUGAUCCGCUAACUGGUUUUCCUACCUCACAAUUGUAUCACUGCUCACAAAGCCCACGCAGACUAGGGGGCACCAACAUACCCUAGAGACCCAUUGAAGCCAAGAUGUUGGCUAUUAGCACCCAUUAACAGAUUAGCUAAACCUCCUGUUAGAAUUGUCAACUGAUGGAUACUGCUGGACAAGCAGCUGUUUUCUAUUAACUGUAUUCGAAAUGGCAUUGUCUUGUAAUUAACUGCUACAACCCUAUAAGAACUGUCUGUAUCUGAAGCUCAGGGAAGAGAAUCAUUGACUUAAACUGUGCAAAGUGUCUGUUUUGUAUCAGUCCAGUCAGUUUCUCUUCCCCAUGAAAUCGUGAGAAAUAAACCAGUGUUCGUCAAUUACACAAGAUCUGUGUGUGGCCUCUAUUUGUAACUGGACAAUUCUCCAACAGGGGGAUACCUGGUAGAGUGGUUGAGGAGGGUUUAAAGUCAUGCGGCAAGGGGAUGGGAACCAGAAGAGGAGGGCAGUAGAUGCAGGAAUUGAGGGAGAGAUAGAAACCAAGGCAAACGUGACUAAGAACAAGAACGGUGAGGGAAAUGCUGCUGAAAAGAGCUGGGUAAGUGGUCUUACAUGCUUGUGUUUCAAUGUAAGAAGUAUAUUAGGCAAGGCAGAUGAACUUACAGCUUUGGUUAGUACUUAGAGCUGUAACAUUAUUGCGAUUAUGGAGACUUUGCUGAAAGAGAGACUGGACUGGCAGCAGAAUGUCCCGGUAUUUAGAUGUUUCAGGUGUGAGGUGGGGGAGUAAAAGGGGUAAAGGAGUGUCUCACAGCUGUCAGAAACUGUGGUGCUGGAAACGCACAGUCGGUCAGGCAGCAUCCGAGGAGCAGGAGAGUCAGGAAGAGCU